RNAcentral lists this ribosomal RNA (441 nucleotides) under uncultured bacterium. RNAcentral describes it as "partial 16S ribosomal RNA". It matches the Rfam family "Bacterial small subunit ribosomal RNA", at positions 338 to 795 of the family's 1533-position model. The record is from RNAcentral.
CCUACGGGAGGCAGCAGUGGGGAAUAUUGCACAAUGGGGGAAACCCUGAUGCAGCGACGCCGCGUGAGUGAAGAAGUAUUUCGGUAUGUAAAGCUCUAUCAGCAGGGAAGAAGAAAGACGGUACCUGACUAAGAAGCCCCGGCUAACUACGUGCCAGCAGCCGCGGUAAUACGUAGGGGGCAAGCGUUAUCCGGAUUUACUGGGUGUAAAGGGAGCGUAGACGGCUGUGCAAGUCUGAAGUGAAAGCCCGUGGCUCAACCGCGGAACUGCUUUGGAAACUGUAUAGCUUGAGUGUCGGAGAGGUAAUCGGAAUUCCUAGUGUAGCGGUGAAAUGCGUAGAUAUUAGGAAGAACACCAGUGGCGAAGGCGGAUUACUGGACGAUAACUGACGGUGAGGCGCGAAAGCGUGGGGAGCAAACAGGAUUAGAUACCCUAGUAGUC